GGAUCAGGUAGGGAUACCCGCUGAA
This 25-nucleotide ribosomal RNA is filed under the name Curvularia sp. 2 RS-2015. RNAcentral describes it as "partial 28S ribosomal RNA". Lineage: Eukaryota; Fungi; Ascomycota; Dothideomycetes; Pleosporales; Pleosporaceae. The record is from RNAcentral.